GGCCCGGGAGGCCGCGAGCGUGUGUGUGUGGCACGAUGUCGUGGUAACUCAGAGGCGCGCAAGGCGGGGCGCCCAACGGGGUCGUGGGUCGAGCACGCGCGCCACUGGGGCGCCGGACGUUGCAAGGGGGUCACAUCCGGUAGGGGGCGGGCCUGGCGGACCCCGGAAGUGUGGGCGCGGCUGCGGUUUAACCCGCGGUGGCGGCGGCGACGGCGGCCCUGGCAGGGAAGGAUGGAGACGCUGAAGGAUAAGACCCUGCAGGAGCUGGAGGAGUUGCAGAAUGACUCGGAGGCGAUUGACCAGCUGGCCCUGGAGUCCCCUGAGGUAGAGGGAGGCUGGUAUGGGACCCAACAAGGCCAGCAGAAGAGGCUUGUUAAGAGGUGCUUUUUAAGGAUGCUGGCUUAUUGGAAGUUUUGGCCAAAUUCAUCUCCCUUUUCUGUGAACUUCAUCCUGGUUUGGACUCAGAGGAAUCCCUGAAGCUUCAGACCAGUUCCUGGGAGUUCUUGGUAGUGCUGGGGAGUCCACUGCCUCCUGGUGCCUUUCCAGGACCCAGAUGCCCCGGGAGUCCCCACACUGUUGUUCCAGCCCAAAUCUGGAGGCAGCUACUCAAAGCACUGGUAUGGUUUUGUACCCAAUUUUCCCCAAGAGCCUUGUGCGAUCCCGUAUCUCCAGGUGACUCUAAGGCUUCUAGGAGCCAUUCUUGGGCGGAGAUCUAGCUCGUCUCCCAUUUGAUCCUGUUUCUCCUCAUAACUGGCCCCUAAUCCUCUCGCUCUUAAUCACAGAGUCCUUGUGGAAAAAAACAGAAUCCUGCCUCUGCAGAGAUUUACACUUAAUAAAGGACGUUCCCUGCCGCUAGCAUCUCCU
This 864-nucleotide small RNA is filed under the name Pongo abelii (Sumatran orangutan). RNAcentral describes it as "retained intron". The record is from RNAcentral. Lineage: Eukaryota; Metazoa; Chordata; Mammalia; Primates; Hominidae.